RNAcentral lists this long non-coding RNA (1023 nucleotides) under Zonotrichia albicollis (white-throated sparrow). RNAcentral describes it as "lncRNA (ENSZALG00000010537.1)". Lineage: Eukaryota; Metazoa; Chordata; Aves; Passeriformes; Passerellidae. The record is from RNAcentral.
GCAGGGCUCUGCAGAGGGGCUCAAGUGAAUGUUUUGUGGGCUCUGCUCUACGUCCUGCCAAGCUGCUGCAAGCCCUUCCCUAGCCCUCAACAGGCCAGACCCAGAGCACCAGCUCAAGGCUGUCCCUCUCCUGCUGCCCAGGAGUUGUGCAGGUUCCCAGGACUGGUGCCAUCCCUGCCAAGCAGAGGAGGAAAAGCUCGAGCAGGGAGCAGGACUGAGGCAUCUCCCCACACUGCCUUAGGUGGGCAAAGCCAGGGGGCAGAGCAACUGCAGACAGAUGUGCAGGUUGUUCCCAGGGCCAGUACAAGCCCCAGCACCAGAACUCUGCCAACCCUGCUCUGGGCCCCUGGGUUAGGAAGAUGGAGGUUUGACCUGCCCCACAAGCAGCUGGACCUUCCUACCUCCUUCCCUGCAACUACACAGCCUCCCCCUCCCAUUCUGGUAGCAAGGGAAGGUGCAGAGCAAAACCAGGGGUCCCCAAAGCCCGGGAUCCCACAUUCCCAGCUGCUGGUGUUCAUAGGGGAAGGAGAGGAAACACCCUGCACACUCCCCCCACAGUCCCUUCCCAGUGGCCCACACCACUGUGCUGCCAGCACUGCAGGAUGGAUGGGACAUGGACACUGGAGCUGCACCAACUUUUCGAGGCACAGCCAGGCUGGGCAGAGUUCUGCUGGGCUUGGAGCAGCCACUGGCAGUCCAGGCCCAACCUGGGCACCUGUACUCACACUCCUCAGUCCCUGCCAGUCUGGCAGUGCUGCAGCCACGCUCCCUGCAGGACCCAGCAGUGUGGAGACAAGCCAGGGCUGUUUCUCCACCCUCCCAACCCUGCUCCAGCUCUGCUCUAAAUCCCAUGGGAAAGGCAGACAGCAGCCCGGGAUCCCACUGGGAUCAGGACUGAAGCCUAUACAUGGGGCUGCCAGGACAGCUACAGGCAGGUUUAUUCCCAGCACAGGGCUGAAGUGGGGAACACAAGAUGGGAUAUUUUCUGCUCAUUUAGCCAGGCCCUCAGACAUAAACUCCUGA